CCUACGGGUGGCAGCAGUGAGGGAUAUUGCACAAUGGGGGGAACCCUGAUGCAGCGACGCCGCGUGGGUGAAGGAGUGCUUCGGCAUGUAAAGCCCUAUCGGCAGGGAAGAAGCAAGACGGUACCUGACUAAGAAGCCCCGGCUAACUACGUGCCAGCAGCCGCGGUAAUACGUAGGGGGCGAGCGUUAUCCGGAUUCACUGGGUGUAAAGGGAGCGUAGACGGCCAUGCAAGCCAGGGGUGAAAGCCCGGGGCCCAACCCCGGGACUGCCCUUGGAACUGUGCGGCUAGAGUGCGGGAGGGGCAGGCGGAAGUCCUGGUGUAGCGGUGAAAUGCGUAGAUAUCAGGAGGAACACCGGCGGCGAAGGCGGCCUGCUGGACUGCGACUGACGUUGAGGCGCGAAAGCGUGGGGAGCGAACAGGAUUAGAUACCCGAGUAGUC
This 441-nucleotide ribosomal RNA is filed under the name uncultured bacterium. RNAcentral describes it as "partial 16S ribosomal RNA". It matches the Rfam family "Bacterial small subunit ribosomal RNA", at positions 338 to 795 of the family's 1533-position model. The record is from RNAcentral.